This 72-nucleotide transfer RNA is filed under the name Anelytra obtusa. RNAcentral describes it as "tRNA-Pro". The record is from RNAcentral. Lineage: Eukaryota; Metazoa; Arthropoda; Insecta; Orthoptera; Tettigoniidae.
CAGAGAGUAGUUUAAAAGUGUUAAAAAAUAUUAAUUUUGGAGAUUAAUGAUAAGAGGUUUUCUUGUCUCUGA